RNAcentral lists this ribosomal RNA (301 nucleotides) under uncultured bacterium. RNAcentral's name for it is "partial 16S ribosomal RNA". It matches the Rfam family "Bacterial small subunit ribosomal RNA", at positions 509 to 809 of the family's 1533-position model. The record is from RNAcentral.
CAGUCGCCGCGGUAAUACGGAGGGUGCAAGCGUUAAUCGGAAUUACUGUGCGUAAAGCGCACGCAGGCGGUCUGACAAGUCAGAUGUGAAAUCCCCGGGCUUAACCUGGGAACUGCAUUUGAAACUGUCAGGCUGGAGUCUUGUAGAGGGGGGUGGAAUUCCAGGUGUAGCGGUGAAAUGCGUAGAGAUCUGGAGGAAUACCGGUGGCGAAGGCGGCCCCCUGGACAAAGACUGACGCUCAGGUGCGAAAGCGUGGGGAGCAAACAGGAUUAGAUACCCCGGUAGUCCCUGUCUCUUAUAA